Molecule: transfer RNA, 73 nt
Organism: Neotoma lepida (desert woodrat)
Lineage: Eukaryota; Metazoa; Chordata; Mammalia; Rodentia; Cricetidae
Rfam family: tRNA
About the family: Transfer RNA (tRNA) molecules are approximately 80 nucleotides in length. Their secondary structure includes four short double-helical elements and three loops (D, anti-codon, and T loops). Further hydrogen bonds mediate the characteristic L-shaped molecular structure. tRNAs have two regions of fundamental functional importance: the anti-codon, which is responsible for specific mRNA codon recognition, and the 3' end, to which the tRNAs corresponding amino acid is attached (by aminoacyl-tRNA synthetases). tRNAs cope with the degeneracy of the genetic code in two manners: having more than one tRNA (with a specific anti-codon) for a particular amino acid; and 'wobble' base-pairing, i.e. permitting non-standard base-pairing at the 3rd anti-codon position.
Source: Rfam
AUGGAGAUGGCUCAGUGGUUAAGAGCACUGGCUACUCUUGCAGAGGACCUGGGUUUGAUUCCUAGCACCCAUA